GUAGGUGAACCUGCGGAUGGAUCAUUAUCACGUUUCCACGUAUAAACCAUCGUGCACCCUCUUACCUCUUGGGGAGACGAGUUCGUGUGGCAGAAGCAGAUGAAUUCUUUCCUGUGAUUUAGAGUUCGCUUCUACCACCUCGAGUAACUUCGUACUUGUCUCUCCUUGAGUGUAUUUUUUAAAUCACUUUGAUUAACAAUUUGAACCCUUUCUUUAAACUUUGAACUGACUUAUUUCUUACUCUUCGGAG
RNAcentral lists this unclassified non-coding RNA (250 nucleotides) under plant metagenome. RNAcentral's name for it is "partial contains small subunit ribosomal RNA, internal transcribed spacer 1, and 5.8S ribosomal RNA". The record is from RNAcentral.